UUUGCAGUAGUUUAACUAAAACAAAGAAUUUUUAAUUCUUAACUGGCUGCUUCAGCCCUGCGGUA
RNAcentral lists this transfer RNA (65 nucleotides) under Arctotanais alascensis. RNAcentral's name for it is "tRNA-Lys". Lineage: Eukaryota; Metazoa; Arthropoda; Malacostraca; Tanaidacea; Tanaididae. The record is from RNAcentral.